AACAUAACGACCUCGAUAUGUUCGAUUUCGCCGGGACAAGUGUUGCUAUGGCUAACGGCCAGGACAUUGUCAAAAAACGUGCUGAUUUUAUUACAGCAAGCAAUGAUGAAGAUGGCGUGGUGAAGGCACUUAAGCACUUCGCGAUUAUCUAACCGUCAGGAUGCCAUGAGAUUUCAAUAAGCAAAUGAAUGGUCGCUGCAACUGAGAUAUUGAAUCUUAGUGCAGCGGCUUUUUUCAUGUCUUUGUGAACCAUCAACGAGAUUGCUUUUGACUGGGUAAAAAUGUUCUACAAAAAAACGUGCGCGAUGCCACCUUUUUGAACAUGAUAGUUGCCACGAUCCCUGUUAGGCAGCGUCGUGGCCAAAGCUCAUCUGCAUAAAGUUAGCCGUCUCUAAAAAUAAAUUGUUCAAUAAUUAAUUGUCGUCUAUCAUUGACUAUAGAUUGGAACUAUUCUAAUAUAGAGAUAGAGCCGAUGACGAAAAGUCGCGGUUACUACAUAAUUAGGAGGAAUUUUUGUGGACAAGCCAAAGAUCAUUGUUGUAGGGGCAUCACACGGCGGUCACCAAAGCGUCUUAGAACUGUUGCAUCGUUAUCCAGAUGCAGACAUUACGAUGUUUGAAGCAGGUGAUUUUGUUUCGUUCAUGUCCUGCGGGAUGGAACUAUUCUUAGAAAAUCAAGUAACCGAUGUGAAUGAUGUUCGGAAUUUUCGUCCAGACGAUUUGAUCAAGCGCGGCGCACAUGUGUUAAACAACCAUGAAGUGACGGCAAUCAAUGCUGAUGUGAAAUCCGUCACCGUUCGCGACACGAAGAACGGCACGACGCAGGAUUAUCCUUAUGACAAAUUAAUUCUGAGUUCAGGCGUUCGCCCGAAUUCCUUACCAGUACCAGGUAACGAUUUGAAGAAUGUCUUCUUGAUGCGUGGCUACGAUUGGGCCACCAACAUCAAGGCCAAGUUAGAAGAUCCGGCGGUUAAGCACGUCACCAUCAUCGGUGCCGGUUAUAUCGGGAUUGAAGCGGCUGAAGCCAGUCGUAAAGCUGGUAAACAAGUAACGUUGUUGGAUAUGAUUGAUCGCCCACUGGGUACCUAUCUGGAUCCAGAAAUGACCGACAUUCUGGCCAAGGAACUCACUGAUAAAGGUGUUGAGCUCAAGCUUGGUGUCAAGAUCGAAGCCUUCACAGGCGAUGAAGCUGUUAGCGCCGUCAAAACGGAUGCCGGUGACGUUAAAACCGAUCUCGUGAUUCAAGCAGCGGGUAUCAAGCCAGCAACGGAAUGGCUCAAGGGCACCGUUAACCUUGAUAAACGCGGCUUCAUCAACACCGAUCCUUAUCUGCGGACCAAUUUGCCAGACGUUUAUGCUAUCGGUGAUGCCACUUUGGUUUACUCAAUCCCAGCACAACAAAAGGUACCGAUUGCCUUGGCAACCGUUGCGCGGCGUGAAGCCCGUUACCUUGCCGAAAACAUUUUUGCAGAAAAUCCAGCACGGCCAUUCAAGGGCGUCGUUGGUUCCAGUGCGUUGAGCGUUUUCGACUACCAUUUUGCAGCUAGCGGCCUGAACACCUUCACAGCUAAACGGGCUGACGUUAACGUGCAUACCGCUUUCUACACCGAUUCACUGCGGCCAGACUAUGUGCCAGAAGCUAACGGCAAUCCACAAGUUUGCGUCAACUUAGUCUUUGACCCGCAAACUCAUCGACUGUUAGGCGGUGCAGUAUUGUCCACUUACGACGUGACUGCACAAGGCAACGUCUUGGCACUCGCCGUUCAACAACAAUUAAGCCUUGAAGACUUGGCUGAAGCCGACUUCUUCUUCCAGCCAGGUUUUGAUCGUCAAUGGAACUUGCUGAACUUGGCUGCGCAACACGCUUUAGGCGAACCGCGAUUCUAAUUACUUUUAAAAAGACAUUAGGCAAAUGAUGUCUUCAUUUCAAUCAGCCAGAUAAACGAUUAAGCUUCCCAAAAAGACCAAGAGCGGAAAUCAAUGAGAUUGCGCAUUCUUGGUCUUUUUAACUUUGUAAGGAGAUUUACUUAUAAGCCACAAACAAGUUUAUGCUAGACGUUUUGAAAGUUGUUGCCUUCUAAAUUUAUUUUUUAAAGGACACCACACAUGACCAAUUGAGCUAAUAUUGCAAACAUGCUAUAAUUAAUAUAGCAAGCAAGUUAAUUCUGGGGGAUGAGAUGUAUAAAAUUGACUUCUAUGAGGAUCGCGAUGGCUACUCUGAGAUCGAAGACUUUCUUGAUCAGUUACGCCAUAGUCAUCAAAAAAAUAAUGUGAGCCUUUUAAACAAAAUCACAAAGGAACUCUACAUGCUGCAAAAUCUUGGUCCGCGCUUACGUGAACCUCACGCGAAGUUUCUGAAGGGAUAUGCUUAUCCGAUCAUGGAAUUGCGUCCCAUGCAAGAAAGAAUCUUUUAUGCUGCAUGGCAAAAGGAUCAUUUCGUUUUGCUUCAUCACUACACCAAGAAAACAAACAAAACUGAUCACAGAGAAAUUUUACGGGCACAGUCUAACCUCGAA
Molecule: ribosomal RNA, 2515 nt
Filed under: Lacticaseibacillus paracasei
Lineage: Bacteria; Bacillati; Bacillota; Bacilli; Lactobacillales; Lactobacillaceae
Description: Lactobacillus paracasei 23S ribosomal RNA
Source: RNAcentral